Molecule: long non-coding RNA, 3161 nt
Filed under: Eutrema salsugineum
Lineage: Eukaryota; Viridiplantae; Streptophyta; Magnoliopsida; Brassicales; Brassicaceae
Description: long non-coding RNA (ESAL_LNC001972)
Source: RNAcentral
AAAGCGGCUCUUAGCUGUGGAACCGUUAGUAGUAGCUUGGCACCGUGCAUUGGCUACUUGACCCAAGGUACGCCCCUUCCCUUAGCGUGCUGCGCCGGCGUUAAAAGACUAAACAGCAUGGCCCGUACAACCCCGGACCGUCAGCAAGCUUGCCGUUGCCUUGUUGGAGCCGCCAACGCCUUAGGUUCCGGUCUCAACACUGGCCGUGCAUCUGGACUUCCUAAGGCAUGUGGUGUCAAUAUUCCAUACGCAAUCAGCAAAAACACUAACUGCGCCAUGUAUGUGUUAAUCUCUCACUCUCUCUGAUACAUAUGAAAACUAAAGGUUUCUUGUUUUGUUACAAUACGAAUAUACGAUGUAACUAAUAUUAAAGUUAGUUUUUUUGACAAAAUGAAGAUUUGAGUUUGCUAUAAAACGGUUUCAUGUUUUACUAAAGUUUAUAAGUCUUCCCGGUUCAACCAUGUUCCAAUAUAAAAGUUGAAUUUUUAUACCGUUGCAACAAGUAUAUAUUAAAAGUUUAUUUUUUUGAGUGGAAAUUAGAGGUUUUUAUAUAGUAACGGUGUUAUGUUUAUUUGUAUGUGGUUGCAGCGUGCGUUAAAUGAGCGGCGGUCGGAUGAAGCUCUAGCGGAUGUUUCAAAUAUUAUAUGAGACUAUGAGAGAAUACUAAAUAAGAUGUAAUGUCUGUUUUUUUUUUGAGUUUUUAGUUUCCUGUCUUUUUUUCUUUUUUCUUUUAUGGUGGCGUUCCUAUUACUUGGUCGUCUGUACUAUGUUCGCAAUCAACGUUAUAUGAGUUUCAAAGUUCACAUUAUUUUAUAUUCUUACCAAAUCUUAGUUUAGUUUCAUCGAUAUGAAAAAUGAUCAUUAUACAUUAACAAUAUAUAUAUAUAUAUAUAUUGAUUUGCAUUACAGUUGGGAAGUAACGGAUAAUUUAAAUUUAAUUUUACAGCCAAAUAAAAUAACGGGACAUUCUCCAAAUUUGUACUAUUUACUUGUUUAGACUUAAGAUAAUCGAGAAAAUGAUGGAUCGCUAUAUGGAAUCGUGACAACUCUUGGAAAACCAGGACCCUAUCUUAUAAUGUGCCCAAAACUAGGGAUUUAUUUCAGUUUGACUUAAUUAAUUUUACAGAUUAGAUAAUGAUUUGGAUAUUGGACAAACCAAUAAAAUGAACAUAACGAAAUAAUAUUUCUAUCAAAAUUUGGUUAUCUUUUCAUCAUUGUUAGUUAUUAUUUUUUCUAAUUUAAUUUAAUUUAUAAUCUACCGUGUGAUGAAUUUUUUCUAAAGAAGAAAAAUCAAAAUUCUGUUAAACUCCAUACAGCUCCCAAAAGUCUAGGCCCAAUUCUGGUUGCUCUCUCAGUGUUGCUAAUUAACUACUUUUUUUUUUAACACAUCGAGGGAAACUCAAUUUUACAAUCAAAAUCAAACCAAUAAGUCUUAACCAUGAAAUAAUACCAAAGAUGAUGAAAUACAUUAGAGAAAAACCCAUAUAAGCUGCUAUUGUUGUAGAUGAAGUUUUUUUUGCAGAUUUAUUGGAGGCAACUGUGCGUUUGGGAAACAAAAUUUGGGAGGUGAGAAGAAACUCGCGUUGUGAUAAGAAAAUAGCGCAAUCACAUUUUGACGGAAAUUUACAAAAUCAUAGUUAUACCGGAAAAUCACCGACUGUUUGUUGAAUUAGUCCAAAGAGACUCAUGUUGGUUCAAGGUUUUUGUUUGUAUAGGUGGUUAUGUGAUAGAAAUAGUCGGAUUUAUAUUUCUGUUCUUCCGAAAUAACAUUUGUUGAUUUUUCUUUGUUGAUUAUUAGUCUAAUGUGUAUAAAAAAUGAUAAAGUUAAACAAAACGGGUAAAUUAUCGUUUUGCAUAAUUUUCUUACAUAUUUAUUUGAUCCACAGCGAAAAACGGUCUUGGGACAGCAGCUCUCAAGAUUAACAGCUACAGUUUGUAAAACAAAUGUAGACUUUGUUUGAGAAAGAGGAGUUUUUUAAAGUUUUUGAAACUCAUAUGUGUUUUUCUUGUUUUGUGAAGAUAUAAUUUGUGUGUACUUAACGCAUAUAUCUAGUCUUGUAUGAGUGAAUCAAAUAUUUAAAAUAAAGAUUGCAAUGUAAAUUUCUAGACUUAUAUACAUAGUGCAUACAUAUUUGUUGAAAAAUGAGAGCAUAAUAUAUGGUUUUAAUUAUAUUAAAUUUUCGUGUUGCGUGACUUGCGUUUCAUCUCAUUAAGAAAGUUUUUACGUAUUUUGUUGGAUCCGCUAGCUAAAUUAUUUUCAUUUGUUAAUCGGAUGUAAAAGAUAUUAGUCAGAUGAUGUUAAGUAAGAUACAAUAAGAAUAUAACAUUUAGUGAUAUUUCUACGUGAAAUGACUAUUUUCUUAUCCAUGUAUAGUUUUAACAUUCUUAAAAUGAAAAUGCAAGAGAGAUUACAUACGUCUUUUUGUGGGUGGGGGGGGGGGGGGGAAAAGAACUACGGUAAAAAAUGUAAGUAUUAUAAGUUUUCAGAAAAAUAAUAUGAUUGAAAUGUCAAACAAAAUACGUAGAUGAGAAAUGAGAGGUACUCACCACUCCUACAUAAUUAGGUACUGUACAUUAAAUGUAACCAACCACCAAUCAACUAAUCAUUUCCUCUAAAUCCCAUUCACAUUCACAACAUCAAAACUUUCUUUCUCUAUAUAAACACUCACUCCCUCAACUCUCUUCAUCACCCAAUAUCACUACACUACAUACAUCUGCUUCUUCAAACAACCAAAAAAAAAACUAUAUUUCCAAGAUAAAAAGAAAAUGGCUGGUCUAAUGAAGUUGGCAUUCCUGGUCUUGGCCUGCAUGAUUGUGGCCGGUCCAAUCACAGCCAAAGCGGCUCUGACCUGUGGCACCGUUACCAGCAACGUUGCAGCGUGCAUUGGCUACAUUACCCAAGGUGGGCCCGUUCCAGGAGCUUGCUGCUCAGGCAUUAAAAACCUUAACAGCAUGGCCCGUACAACCCCGGACCGUCAACAAGCUUGUCGUUGCCUUAAAACUGCCGCUAAUGCCUUGGGCCCAAAUCUCAACGCUGGCCGUGCAGCUGGACUUCCUAAGGCUUGUGGAGUCAAUGUUCCUUUCCCAAUCAGCACCAGCACCAACUGCAACAGGUAUAUGUCUGAAGAUCUCUCAUUCACUCUAUUUUCAUAUAAAUGCUA